This 502-nucleotide ribosomal RNA is filed under the name uncultured bacterium. RNAcentral's name for it is "bacterial SSU rRNA". It matches the Rfam family "Bacterial small subunit ribosomal RNA", at positions 28 to 510 of the family's 1533-position model. The record is from RNAcentral.
GAUGAACGCUAGCGGCAGGCUUAAUACAUGCAAGUCGAGGGGCAUCAAGGUACACGAAAGUGUAUUGUUGGCGACCGGCGGACGGGUGAGUAAUAGGUAGGUAACCUACCUCAUACUGAGGCAUAGCUGGGAGAAAUUCCAGGUAAUUCCUCAUGAGGUUAUAUGACACAUGUGAUAUAAUCAAAGGUAUCGCAAGGUACUGGUAUGAGAUGGGCUUACUGACCAUUAGCUAGUUGGUGAGAUAAGAGCUCACCAAGGCGAAGAUGGUUAGGGGUUUUGAGAGAGAGAUCCCCCACAUUGGAACUGAGAUACGGUCCAGACUCCUACGGGAGGCAGCAGUAGGGAAUUUUGCGCAAUGGACGGAAGUCUGACGCAGCAACGCCGCGUGAAGGAUGACGGCCUCGGUUGUAACGUUACUUGUUGGUAGUGGGAAAAAGACCGUAAGGAAGUAAGGAAUUAGAUGGUACCGAUUCGAGUAAGACGACCGGCUAACUACGUAGCC